GGUGAAUCCUCACAGAGCUCCCGUCAUCAGGCCUGCAGGCUGACCGGCUGGGACGGACAGGGACCAUGUGGGAGAAAACAUUUCUGCUGCUGCUGCUGCUGCUCAGUGUUGAAGCUGCGGCGGUGUCUCAGUGCUGGCAGGGGGCGACCUUCUCCGAGGCCGUGGUGUCUCCAGCGGUGGAGAGCAGCGGGAUAAUGUGGAUACCCGGCGUGUCGUCGUUGCCGCAGUGCGUGGCGGCGUGCUGCGAC
RNAcentral lists this long non-coding RNA (248 nucleotides) under Echeneis naucrates (live sharksucker). Its description in RNAcentral is "lncRNA (ENSENLG00000007258.1)". Lineage: Eukaryota; Metazoa; Chordata; Actinopteri; Carangiformes; Echeneidae. The record is from RNAcentral.